GCAGUAUACAUAGCUGUGCUCAGUAUGUUGGCAGGCCAUUUGGCCUGAAUUUGUGGGAGGAGUUAUGACCUUAUUUAAACCCCUUCCUCCCUACUUACCUUUGUCGUGCAAACCUUUGUCUGCAUAGUUACCUGCACUUCCGGUUCGUUGUUCCCGCCAAGUCCUGUCUCGAGCAAACAGUCCGUCACCAGCAGCUCCUGCCGCCGACCUCCGGGCCCGUCCACCGGCUUCCAUCUGAC
Non-coding RNA from Pelobates cultripes (western spadefoot toad), 239 nucleotides. NCBI's taxonomy places the organism in Eukaryota, Metazoa, Chordata, Amphibia, Anura, Pelobatidae. The record is from the annotation of a GenBank genome assembly.